This 443-nucleotide ribosomal RNA is filed under the name uncultured bacterium. Its description in RNAcentral is "partial 16S ribosomal RNA". It matches the Rfam family "Bacterial small subunit ribosomal RNA", at positions 338 to 795 of the family's 1533-position model. The record is from RNAcentral.
CCUACGGGUGGCAGCAGUGGGGAAUAUUGGGCAAUGGGCGCAAGCCUGACCCAGCAACGCCGCGUGAAGGAUGAAGGCCCUCGGGUUGUAAACUUCUUUUGUCAGGGACGUAGCAAGUGACGGUACCUGACGAAUAUGCCACGGCUAACUACGUGCCAGCAGCCGCGGCAAUACGUAGGUGGCAAGCGUUAUCCGGAUUUAUUGGGUGUAAAGGGCGUGUAGGCGGGAAUGCAAGUCAGAUGUGAAAACUAUGGGCUCAACCCGUAUCCUGCAGUUGAAACUGUAUUUCUUGAGUGCGGGAGAGGCAAGCGGAAUUCCGUGUGUAGCGGUGAAAUGCGUAGAUAUACGGAGGAACACCAGUGGCGAAGGCGGAUUGCUGGACAGUAACUGACGCUGAGGCGCGAAAGCGUGGGGAGCAAACAGGAUUAGAUACCCGAGUAGUC